RNAcentral lists this transfer RNA (71 nucleotides) under Pleurotus ostreatus PC15. RNAcentral's name for it is "tRNA-Gly (GCC) (tRNA-Gly-GCC-4-1)". It matches the Rfam family "tRNA". Rfam says of the family: Transfer RNA (tRNA) molecules are approximately 80 nucleotides in length. Their secondary structure includes four short double-helical elements and three loops (D, anti-codon, and T loops). The record is from RNAcentral. Lineage: Eukaryota; Fungi; Basidiomycota; Agaricomycetes; Agaricales; Pleurotaceae. RNAcentral also lists the same sequence under 1 other name.
GCAUUAAUGGGGUAGUGGUAACCUGGGUCGUUGCCAUCGACCCGCCGGGAGUUCGAUUCUCUCUUAAUGCA